CAGUAGCCGCGGUAAUACGAAGGGUGCAAGCGUUACUCGGAAUUACUGGGCGUAAAGCGUGCGUAGGUGGUGGUUUAAGUCCGUUGUGAAAGCCCUGGGCUCAACCUGGGAAUUGCAGUGGAUACUGGGUCACUAGAGUGUGGUAGAGGAUAGUGGAAUUUCCGGUGUAGCAGUGAAAUGCGUAGAGAUCGGGAGGAACAUCAGUGGCGAAGGCGGCCAUCUGGGACAACACUGACGCUGAGGCACGAAAGCGUGGGGAGCAAACAGGAUUAGAUACCCCGGUAGUCCCUGUCUCUUAUAC
Molecule: ribosomal RNA, 301 nt
Filed under: uncultured bacterium
Lineage: Bacteria
Description: partial 16S ribosomal RNA
Rfam family: Bacterial small subunit ribosomal RNA
Source: RNAcentral